CUGGGCCCCCAGGGCCAGAGCCCCCGUGCUGUGAGGAGAGGCUGCGAGAGCUGGGGCUGCUCGGCCUGGAGCAGAGGAGGCUCCGGGGGAGCUCCCCCAUGGCCGUCAGUACCCGCAGGGAGGUGCGGAGAGGCCGGAGCCGGGCUCUGCUCAGCGGUGCCCAGGGCCAGGCCCAGAGGCCCCGGGCCCAGCCUGGAGCCCCGGCGGCUCCCCCUGCCCCUCAGGCAGCACUGCUGGGCUGGGAGGGU
Oxyura jamaicensis (ruddy duck) is the source of this 248-nucleotide long non-coding RNA. RefSeq lists it as uncharacterized. The record is from RefSeq and is a predicted model, not a curated record. The transcript is spliced from 3 exons. NCBI's taxonomy places the organism in Eukaryota, Metazoa, Chordata, Aves, Anseriformes, Anatidae.